This 278-nucleotide unclassified non-coding RNA is filed under the name Ascomycota sp. RNAcentral describes it as "partial contains small subunit ribosomal RNA, internal transcribed spacer 1, and 5.8S ribosomal RNA". The stretch from base 1 to 47 matches the Rfam family "Eukaryotic small subunit ribosomal RNA", at positions 1785 to 1831 of the family's 1831-position model. The record is from RNAcentral. Lineage: Eukaryota; Fungi; Ascomycota.
AAAGUCGUAACAAGGUUUCCGUAGGUGAACCUGCGGAAGGAUCAUUACUGUGUCGUUGGGGUUCGCCCCGAUUACCCGCCCUCAUGUCAUUUCAAGGUUGUAAAAGACCUCUUGUUUUACUUCGGCCGAGGCGUUCGGUUACCCGGCGGUCUAGCACCAAUGGGGACAGGACCGCGGCCGGCUGGCCUCUGGGUCAACCUCACUCUUUGCACACGCAUGAAGUCUGAGCAAACAGAAAAUAAAAAGCAAAACUUUCAACAACGGAUCUCUUGGCUCUG